UUGUGUUGAUGUGGAGCAGGUGGCAGAGGAGGCGGUCCUGCUUGGUUGGGAAGCUGGACAUUCUCCUGAUUCGAUU
This is a long non-coding RNA of Sinocyclocheilus grahami, 76 nucleotides long. RefSeq lists it as uncharacterized. Lineage: Eukaryota; Metazoa; Chordata; Actinopteri; Cypriniformes; Cyprinidae. The record is from RefSeq and is a predicted model, not a curated record. The transcript has 3 exons.